Long non-coding RNA from Oreochromis aureus, 434 nucleotides. Lineage: Eukaryota; Metazoa; Chordata; Actinopteri; Cichliformes; Cichlidae. The record is from Ensembl.
AGGAAGAUGUCACGUAGGCAGAGGAAGGGAAAACAACACGCAGCCGACCUCUCUGAGGAACUCUCUGUGCGGCGGGGCUUUGGGUCAUCGCCAGUCUUGACAUCAUCCGGCACUGGGACCCAGAUGUACGGAUCUCUAGUGAUGCUUUUCAGAGCGAGCGUCCAGAGGAUCCACCUGGAGAUCACUGCAAAGGUUUACCGCUUCACUUUGGCUCGGACAAUCAAGCUUUGGCAGUCAGCAGGCUGCCAAAGCCCAGGGCUUGAGGUGAGAAUCCAGCAGCACAGACUUGAGGGGUUUUUGCUUCCUUAAAUAAACAAUUGAACAGGCAGCAUGAUGCAGCUCUGCAGCGUGUUGUGCCUCACAAAGACAGGAUUCAUUUCAGUCAGAUACAGAUGAACUGAGCAAAACAAAACAAGACAUUAUCCAGAUCAAAC